ACUAUGGAGAGUUUGAUCCUGGCUCAGGAUGAACGCUAGCGGCAGGCCUAAUACAUGCAAGUCGAACGGGAUCCAUCUGUAGCUUGCUA
RNAcentral lists this non-coding RNA (89 nucleotides) under Sphingobacterium paucimobilis HER1398. RNAcentral's name for it is "Bacterial small subunit ribosomal RNA". It matches the Rfam family "Bacterial small subunit ribosomal RNA", at positions 1 to 90 of the family's 1533-position model. Lineage: Bacteria; Pseudomonadati; Bacteroidota; Sphingobacteriia; Sphingobacteriales; Sphingobacteriaceae. The record is from Rfam by way of RNAcentral.